Heterocephalus glaber (naked mole-rat) is the source of this 2957-nucleotide long non-coding RNA. The record is from Ensembl. NCBI's taxonomy places the organism in Eukaryota, Metazoa, Chordata, Mammalia, Rodentia, Bathyergidae.
GUUCAGUGUCCAUGCUCCUCUGUGCACCCCAAGUUGCUGCAAUCUCUAUCUCUAACUAGCCUUGGACUUGUGAGGUGCCCUCUUUGCUUGAGAGGCCACUCUGUCCAUACACCCUGGGGUGUGGUAACUGAGGGGUGUCCCCAGUCAUGUUGGGAGGAAAGCAGACAGACCACAGAGUUCUGUACUGGACACAGUCUGUACAGUGCCUGACUCACAGCACUGGAGGAUUGUCCAUCCUUGUUCCCAGAGAGGGGCUAGGCCAGCCAAACCCCUCACUUCAUACUCUGACAAUGGAUCGAAGGGGCCUGGAGCAAACUGCAAUACCCCUGUCCGUGGACAUCUCCAUGUUCUGUGAGGAACCCGGUAUGAACAUGGAUGUCACAGUGAGCUCCAGGCCUUCGACUUUUGGCUGGGUCCUCCAGCGCUUCAGCAUGCACACAGACCUUUCCCAUUCUUCCACCGCUGACUCUACAGGUGGCCAUUGUGUGGUCUGUGGCAAGGUAGAAAAAGGGACCAGAAUGGGAGCCAAAAUCCUGGAGUCCUCAUUGUUACUCUUCCAUAAACCAGCUGUGUGACAAGGGUUCAUUGCAGCAGUUGAUUCACAUCCUCCAACCCUGCUUUGUGUAAUAUGUGUCAAUCAGCUAUUCAAUAAAGCCAUGAAAUUGCCAAAACUGUUUCACCAUAUGGAGACCAAGCAUCCUGGAUCAAAAGACAAGCCUUGGCAUUUUUAUUUUUUAAAGAAAAAAAUGUGAACACAAAGAAAAAAGGCAAGUAUUGGUGACCACCACUUCAUCACAUGUAUCUGCACUGAAAGGGCCAUUCUCUGUGGGUAAUCCCAUUGCUAAAGCUAAGAAGCCUUUGUUAUUGGUGAAGAGUUGGUUUUUCUGGCUGCUGAGGACAUUUGUCACGAACAUUUAGGAGAAGCUGCAGUUCAAAAGGUGGCAUGAGUUCUUCUUUCAGCUAGAAAUAUAGAUGGAUAAGUUGAUAAAAUAGCAGAGGAUGUCGAGGCACAAUUGAUGGAGAGGAUUAAGGAGGUACUGUGGUGUGCAAUAGAGGUUGACAAGUCUACCAAUGUUUACAACAAGGCAACGAUGCUGUUUUUGUGUAAUUUAUUUUUCAGGAAGAUGGGCAUGAGGAUAAGUAAGCUAUGUGAGGUUUUGUGAACAACAAGUACUACAGCCCCAAACCACUGUGUUCAAUAUUUGGAUGAUGACAUGUCAGAAAAGCUGAAGUGCUCAUCUUGUUUCAGAUAGAGUGGCCACCAUGAUUAGAUAGCUUUCUGGUUUUACUACUUGAAUCAAAGAGGUCACUUUUGAAAGUCUAUGCACUGUAUCAUUCUUAUGGAAAUGCUGGUUAGCCACGAAAUGUUACCUGAAUGUAACAAUGUUUUGCAAAGUGCGAUUAAAAUGAUCAACCACAUUAAAGCACAUGCCCUUACUUUAUUCUCUUCACAGAGCUCUGUAAGGAGAUAGACACAGAACACACAUAUUUUCUCUUAUAUAGAGUUGAGAUGGCUUUCCAAAGGCCAGAAUUUUUUACUUAUGAGAGCUACUGCAGAGAUUUCUUUUAGAAAAAUAGCCUCCAUUUGCAGCACAUUGCAAUGGCCCAGAAUGGGUUGAAAAUUUGCUUACUCAUGUGAUUGUGUGACAUAUUCAUCCUGCCCAACAAAUUCAACCUAUCACUUCAGGAGACAAUUACAACUCUGUUCAAAUUGGUAGAUAAGGUGGCUGUAUUGAAAGACAAACUGGAAUUAUAGGAGCAGUGAAAGAACAUAGGGAUUUUUGAUAUGUUUCAAAUAUUAGCACAGAUUUUGAAGAGACUAAGCCAGAGUUUCCUUACUCCUAGCUGGUGCAUGAUCAACUAUCUCAGCUUUUGAGAGUUUGAGUUUAUUUCCCAACCACAAAAGGCCCCCAAACUGGAAAGGAAUGAACACAUAACCUACUUGUAAUGACCCAGGUAAAUUAACUUUGUGCUGGAAGAGGAUCAACUUCUGAAGAUUGUAAAUGAUAGUGGCCUUAAAAGUAUGUCUGAGACAACUUCAAAUUGUCAUGCAUUCUGGAUUAAAGUCAAAGUGGAAUAUCCUGAAAUUGCCACAAAAAGACAAAAGCCUUGUUCCAUUUCCAACAUUCUGUCUCUGUGAAGCAGGGUUUUCUGUAGUAACAGCAACACAGAUCGGGUAUCAUUGUCUCGCAUCAUCUCAGAUGGGUCCAAUUAGCUGCAAGAAACAAGUUCAGGGCUCCUGUUGAUUCUGCAUUAUGAAACUUUUUAAUAAGAAGAGAUCCCGCUUGAUGAUUGUUUAUGAUAGUUCACAGACAACUGAGGUUUUGCCCAUAAAAUCUUUUCCUACACAAUGUCUUCAAGAAUUCUCAGAGGAGGUGAGUCAAUCCCAGCGCCCAGGAGGAGGAUCCCCAGCCACCAUUCCACUGCUCCCAGGGCAGAGGGUGUGAGCCAAUUCCAGCACCUAGGAAGAGGCUCCCCUGCUGCCAUUCCACUGCUCCCAGGGCAGAGGAGGUGAGCCACAUGGGUGCCAGUAGCACCCCCACCCUGUGGAAAUGAGAAGACACAUAAACAAGCCUCAAAAACAGACUUCCAGAUCACCUACAGCAACCCAAAAGGGAAACAAGAUGGAAAAAUCUGAUACUCAACAACCUGGACUCCCUAAACUGGCAACAAAAGAGGACCUGGAAAAAAUGAAAUCAGAAAUAAUUUCUCAGAUAACAGCAGAGAUUGUGCCCAUAGUCAAGACAUGAUUAAUAAAUCUAGAGAGGACACAUAAAAAAAUAGAAGAGCUUAGGAACAUGAUGGAAUCCCAACAUAGGAAACAAAUGGAGUCCAUAAAACAGAUACAAACAAAUAUCCAGGAGAUUAAAAACUCCAUCAAAAAUCUACACAGCAGAAUGAGCCAAUGUGAGGACAGAAUCUCAGAUAUAGAAGAUAAGAUUUCAAUUAGUGACCAG